This 496-nucleotide ribosomal RNA is filed under the name uncultured bacterium. RNAcentral's name for it is "partial 16S ribosomal RNA". It matches the Rfam family "Bacterial small subunit ribosomal RNA", at positions 29 to 507 of the family's 1533-position model. The record is from RNAcentral.
AUGAACGCUGGCGGCGUGCCUAAUCCCUGCAAGUCGAGCGAACAGACGAGGAGCUUGCUCCUCUGACGUUAGCGGCGGACGGGUGAGUAACACGUGGAUAACCUACCUAUAAGACUGGGAUAACUUCGGGAAACCGGAGCUAAUACCGGAUAACAUGUUGAACCGCAUGGUUCAACAGUGAAAGACGGUCUUGCUGUCACUUAUAGAUGGAUCCGCGCCGCAUUAGCUAGUUGGUAAGGUAACGGCUUACCAAGGCAACGAUGCGUAGCCGACCUGAGAGGGUGAUCGGCCACACUGGAACUGAGACACGGUCCAGACUCCUACGGGAGGCAGCAGUAGGGAAUCUUCCGCAAUGGGCGAAAGCCUGACGGAGCAACGCCGCGUGAGUGAAGAAGGUCUUCGGAUCGUAAAACUCUGUUAUUAGGGAAGAACAAAUGUGUAAGUAACUAUGCACGUCUUGACGGUACCUAAUCAGAAAGCCACGGCUAACUACGUG